This is a small nuclear RNA of Jaculus jaculus (lesser Egyptian jerboa), 106 nucleotides long. The record is from Ensembl. NCBI's taxonomy places the organism in Eukaryota, Metazoa, Chordata, Mammalia, Rodentia, Dipodidae.
GUACUCCUUUGGCAGCACAUAUACUAAAAUCGGGAUGAUCCAGAGAAAAUUAGCAUGGCUGCUAGGUAAGGAGGAUGUUCAAAUUCAUGAAGUAUUCCAUAAUUUU